RNAcentral lists this ribosomal RNA (297 nucleotides) under Paenibacillus sp. RNAcentral's name for it is "partial 16S ribosomal RNA". It matches the Rfam family "Bacterial small subunit ribosomal RNA", at positions 68 to 350 of the family's 1533-position model. Lineage: Bacteria; Bacillati; Bacillota; Bacilli; Caryophanales; Paenibacillaceae. The record is from RNAcentral.
GACUUGAUGGAGUGCUUGCACUCCUGAAGGUUAGCGGCGGACGGGUGAGUAACACGUAGGCAACCUGCCCUCAAGACUGGGAUAACUACCGGAAACGGUAGCUAAUACCGGAUAAUUUAUUUUGCAGCAUUGUGAAAUAAUGAAAGGCGGAGCAAUCUGUCACUUGAGGAUGGGCCUGCGGCGCAUUAGCUAGUUGGUGGGGUAACGGCUCACCAAGGCGACGAUGCGUAGCCGACCUGAGAGGGUGAACGGCCACACUGGGACUGACACACGGCCCAGACUCCUACGGGAGGCACC